GGAGGGGUGGCAGAGUCUGGCUUAAUGCGGCGGUCUUGAAAACCGCUGACCCUCACGGGUCCGGGGGUUCGAAUCCCUCCCCCUCCGCCA
This 90-nucleotide transfer RNA is filed under the name Coriobacteriia bacterium. Its description in RNAcentral is "tRNA-Ser". It matches the Rfam family "tRNA". From Rfam's summary of the family: Transfer RNA (tRNA) molecules are approximately 80 nucleotides in length. The record is from RNAcentral. Lineage: Bacteria; Bacillati; Actinomycetota; Coriobacteriia.